UACGUAGGUGGCGAGCGUUGUCCGGAAUUAUUGGGCGUGAAGAGCGCGUAGGCGGCUUGCCAGGUCCGACGUGAAACCCCGGGGCUCAACUCCGGACGUGCAUCGGAAACCGGCUUGCUAGAGUCUGGGAGAGGGGAGUGGAAUUCCUGGUGUAGCGGUGAAAUGCGCAGAUAUCAGGAGGAACACCGGUAGCGAAGGCUGCUCCCUGGAACAGUACUGACGCUGAGGCGCGAAAGCUAGGGGAGCGAACAGGAUUAGAUACCCUGGUAGUCCUAGCCGUAAACGAUGGACACUAGGUGUCGGGAGUGUCGACUCUCCCGGUGCCGAAGCUAACGCAUUAAGUGUCCCGCCUGGGGAGUACGGCCGCAAGGCUAAA
This 376-nucleotide ribosomal RNA is filed under the name uncultured bacterium. RNAcentral's name for it is "bacterial SSU rRNA". It matches the Rfam family "Bacterial small subunit ribosomal RNA", at positions 524 to 898 of the family's 1533-position model. The record is from RNAcentral.